RNAcentral lists this ribosomal RNA (429 nucleotides) under Bacteroidota bacterium. RNAcentral's name for it is "Bacteroidetes bacterium partial 16S ribosomal RNA". It matches the Rfam family "Bacterial small subunit ribosomal RNA", at positions 355 to 776 of the family's 1533-position model. Lineage: Bacteria; Pseudomonadati; Bacteroidota. The record is from RNAcentral.
UAGGGAAUCUUCCGCAAUGGACGCAAGUCUGACGGAGCAACGCCGCGUGAGUGAAGAAGGAUUUCGGUUCGUAAAACUCUGUUGUUAGAGAAGAACAGCGCAUAGAGUAACUGUUAUGCGUGUGACGGUAUCUAACCAGAAAGCCACGGCUAACUACGUGCCAGCAGCCGCGGUAAUACGUAGGUGGCAAGCGUUGUCCGGAUUUAUUGGGCGUAAAGCGAGCGCAGGCGGUCAAUUAAGUCUGAUGUGAAAGCCCCCGGCUCAACCGGGGAGGGUCAUUGGAAACUGGUUGACUUGAGUGCAGAAGAGGAGAGAGGAAUUCCAUGUGUAGCGGUGAAAUGCGUAGAUAUAUGGAGGAACACCAGUGGCGAAGGCGACUCUCUGGUCUGUAACUGACGCGGAGGCUCGAAAGCGUGGGUAGCAAACAGG